GGGCGAAUAGCUCAGUUGGUCAGAGCGCACGGUUCACAUCCGUGAGGGCGUGGGUUCAAGUCCCUCUUCGCCCA
RNAcentral lists this transfer RNA (74 nucleotides) under Anaerolineae bacterium. RNAcentral describes it as "tRNA-Val". It matches the Rfam family "tRNA". From Rfam's summary of the family: Transfer RNA (tRNA) molecules are approximately 80 nucleotides in length. Their secondary structure includes four short double-helical elements and three loops (D, anti-codon, and T loops). The record is from RNAcentral. Lineage: Bacteria; Bacillati; Chloroflexota; Anaerolineae.